UUGAUCCGGCCAUUAGUCAUACGCUCGUCUAAAAGAUUAAGCCUUGCAUGUCUAAUUGCAGGCACUUGUACUGUGAAACUGCUAAUGGCUCAUUAUAUCACUUAUAGUUUAUUUGAUAGAUCCCUACUACUUGGAUAACCAUAGUAAUUCUAGAGCUAAUACAUGCAAGAAAGCCCAAUUUUUCGGACGGGUUGUGUUUAUUAUAUAGAAACCAAUGCAGGGUUUCCCUGGUGUGGUGGUGAGUCAUAAUAACUAAGCGAAUCCAUUGGCCUAUGGCCGGCAAUAAAUCUUUAAGGUUUCUCCCCUAUCAUCUGUCAAGGGAAGGGUAUUGGCCUACCAUGGCGUUAACGGGUGACGGAAAAUUAGGGUUCGAUUCCGGAAAGGGAGCCUGAGAGACGGAUACCACAUCCAAGGAAGGCAGCAGGCGCUUAAAUUACCCAAUCCUGAUACGGGGAGGUAGUGACAAUAAAUAACAAUACGGGGCCCAUCGGGUCUUGUAAUUGGAAUGAGUACAAUUUAACUCCCUAAACGAGGAUCAAUU
This 541-nucleotide ribosomal RNA is filed under the name uncultured eukaryote. RNAcentral describes it as "bacterial SSU rRNA". It matches the Rfam family "Eukaryotic small subunit ribosomal RNA", at positions 8 to 549 of the family's 1831-position model. The record is from RNAcentral.